GCAUAUGACUACUGGCAGGAUCAACCAGGUAGCAUUCCUCACUCGACAUCAAACAACGCAUGAGACGCUCCGCAAGGGUUCGUUCAACACGUGCAUGAUUGUCGUUCGCACGAAGCGUGGGACGCUCGAUUCGGGGCAACUCAAGGUUUCGUGACCUCGCGCCCGCUCAAUGUUCCGUACCCGAGAGACCACGCACAACAUCAUGGUUCAACAAUUCAAGCACAYCUUKGUGGCAUGAAAAGUGAAACACAACGAGUGCUACAAAGUCCACCCAACGCCGAAUCYCGAAAGGUUCGACGGUGGAUGGAUGACAGAAGAUUCCAACAAACAAAUGCCCUCAAAUUAGGAACGCAGCACAGGAAACCAAAAACGAGCAAGACGUGCCAAAUCCGACAACUGAAAAGGCGUGCAGAACACAUUGUCCCUGCUCAAGCAAGGAUCCAACGUGCCAAUACAAACCAAACACCACUCA
This 472-nucleotide unclassified non-coding RNA is filed under the name Odontites corsicus. Its description in RNAcentral is "partial external transcribed spacer". The record is from RNAcentral. Lineage: Eukaryota; Viridiplantae; Streptophyta; Magnoliopsida; Lamiales; Orobanchaceae.